CAAAAACAUGUCUUUUAGAAAUAAAUUUAAAGUCUGACCUGCCCACUGAAAAUUUAAAGGCCGCAGUAUACUAACUGUGCAAAGGUAGCAUAAUAAUUAGUCUUUUAAUUGAAGGCUGGAAUGAAUGGUUGGACGAAGUAUUAACUGUUUCAUUAAAAUUUGAGCUAGAACUUUAUUUUUUAGUCAAAAAGCUAAAAUUAAAUUAAAAGACGAGAAGACCCUAUAAAGCUUUAUAUUUUUAGUAAUAUAUAAAUUAAGAUUAGUUUAUGUUUAUUACAAAAAAGUAUUUUAUUGGGGUGAUAUUAAAAUUUAACUAACUUUUAAUUUUUUAAACCAUUAAUUUUUGAGUAUAUGAUCCAUUUUUUAUGAUUGUAAAUUUAAGUUACUUUAGGGAUAACAGCGUAAUUUUUUUGGAGAGUUCAUAUCGAUAAAAAAGAUUGCGACCUCGAUGUUGGAUUAAGAAAUAUGGUUAGGCGUAGCCGUUUAAAUGAUAAGUCUGUUCGACUUUUAAUUUCUUAC
RNAcentral lists this ribosomal RNA (519 nucleotides) under Pherbina intermedia. RNAcentral's name for it is "partial 16S ribosomal RNA". It matches the Rfam family "Bacterial large subunit ribosomal RNA", at positions 1808 to 2599 of the family's 2925-position model. The record is from RNAcentral. Lineage: Eukaryota; Metazoa; Arthropoda; Insecta; Diptera; Sciomyzidae.